AAUACGUUCCCGGGCUUGUACACACCGCCCGUCACACCACGAAAGUCGGCAACACCCGAAGCCGGUGGCCUAACCGUAAGGAAGGAGCCGUCGAAGGUGGGGUCGGUGAUUGGGGUG
Molecule: ribosomal RNA, 117 nt
Filed under: uncultured bacterium
Lineage: Bacteria
Description: partial 16S ribosomal RNA
Rfam family: Bacterial small subunit ribosomal RNA
Source: RNAcentral